RNAcentral lists this ribosomal RNA (433 nucleotides) under uncultured bacterium. RNAcentral describes it as "partial 16S ribosomal RNA". It matches the Rfam family "Bacterial small subunit ribosomal RNA", at positions 29 to 507 of the family's 1533-position model. The record is from RNAcentral.
AACGAACGCUGGCGGCAUGCCUAACACAUGCAAGUCGAACGAGACCUUCGGGUCUAGUGGCGCACGGGUGCGUAACGCGUGGGAACCUGCCCUUAGGUUCGGAAUAACUCCCCGAAAGGGGUGCUAAUACCGGAUAAUGUCUUCGGACCAAAGAUUUAUCGCCUUUGGAUGGGCCCGCGUUGGAUUAGCUAGUUGGUAGGGUAAAAGCCUACCAAGGCGACGAUCCAUAGCUGGUCUGAGAGGAUGAUCAGCCACACUGGGACUGAGACACGGCCCAGAAUCCUACGGGGGGGAGGAGUGGGGAAUAUUGGGACAUGGGCGGAAGCCUGAUCCAGCAAUGCCGCGUGAGUGAUGAAGGCCUUAGGGUUGUAAAGCUCUUUUACCCGGGAUGAUAAUGACAGUACCGGGAGAAUAAGCUCCGGCUAACUCCGUG